Long non-coding RNA from Triticum dicoccoides, 1158 nucleotides. RefSeq lists it as uncharacterized. NCBI's taxonomy places the organism in Eukaryota, Viridiplantae, Streptophyta, Magnoliopsida, Poales, Poaceae. The record is from RefSeq and is a predicted model, not a curated record. The transcript is spliced from 8 exons.
CUUCCCUCUCCCGCACAUCUCUCUCCCAUCCUCCCCGUCCGCCGCCGCCACACCAUCGUCGCCGCCUACCCUCGGCGGGCGGCCCACCCCCUCCUCCUUCUCCGUCGUGGCGCGGUGCUCCACGGCAACCUCUCUCUGGUCUGGUCCGGCUUGAGCCCCUUCGCUCUGACCCCGACCCCCCUUCUUCCAAGCCAGCGCGGCCACCAUCGACGGCGAGGGCCGCAGCAGGAGCAGGAGCACGGCGGGAAGGAGGAGAACGACCAGGGGACUUCGAGCCGCCAUUUGUCGCCGGCCGUCGACACCUCCUGCUCGACCACACAGCGGGAGCACCGGACCGUUGUCCUUGUGUUCGUGCUCCUCCAGGAAGAAGACGACCCAAGGAGUUCUCCUCCUCAAGGAGUCAACCGUCCUCGAUCUACUGCUCCUCCUACGUCUUCUGCGAUGGCUUCCUCGCGUGUCGACGCUGGUUGAGAUGCUUAUUCGUCCAUUUUCACCGGUGCCUCCUUCGAUCUGCCCCUCUCGCUUGUCCAUUCAUGGAUUUAUAGGUGUUCUUCGGCUGAAAUUAGGCUGCUCCUGCCAUGUCUAUCAGUGAAAUGCCUCCUUCCAUGAUAAAGCAGCCUACUCGUAGGUACAAAUCUGGGUGUCGAUUCUGCCUCACCUUUCUAGCCGGCAGUGGUUCGGUUUGCUGCAGGUUCUCUCAGUGUUCAGGUAAGCGCCGCCAUAAACGCCAACGUGCCAAAAAGACAAGGGGUCGAGAUCCAUGUAGCGAACCAUGUCUUUGUGAGAGGACAGUAACAAGAGAUUGUUCUUCGCAUGUUAAACUGAACUCUUACGCAUAGGACCAAUAUGGUGCAAACAACCAUCGCUCACUAUCAACAAGCGCAGGUUCAUGUGACGUGCCAUGUGAGAAGUUGAACGACAAGACAGUCAAGUGAAGUUAUCAAAUAGUAUGCUUUAGUUGAACUGUAUAGGUUCCUUAUCUCUCACUGGCGCUCUGGCUUGAUUUUGUUGUCUAACUCUACUCUCUGUAUCUAAAUUAAUGUGAAUUGAUCGUCCUGCCUUAGCUUUGGAACAAAGAAAUGUUUCCCUUUUAUUAUGAGCCUCCAGGUCAUUUGUUCUACUGAUAAAAUAUUUCCUACUCACCUUGCUUUUGGUAUA